CCUACGGGAGGCAGCAGUGAGGAAUAUUGGUCAAUGGGCGCGAGCCUGAACCAGCCAAGUAGCGUGAAGGAUGACUGCCCUACGGGUUGUAAACUUCUUUUAUAAAGGAAUAAAGUGAGGCACGUGUGCCGUUUUGUAUGUACUUUAUGAAUAAGGAUCGGCUAAUUCCGUGCCAGCAGCCGCGGUAAUACGGAGGAUCCGAGCGUUAUCCGGAUUUAUUGGGUUUAAAGGGAGCGUAGACGGGUUUUUAAGUCAGUUGUGAAAGUCUGUGGCUCAACCAUAGAAUUGCCGUUGAAACUGGGAGGCUUGAGUAGGUUUGAGGCAGGCGGAAUGCGUGGUGUAGCGGUGAAAUGCUUAGAUAUCACGCAGAACCCCGAUUGCGAAGGCAGCCUGCCAAGCCAUGACUGACGCUGAUGCACGAAAGCGUGGGGAUCAAACAGGAUUAGAUACCCCGGUAGUC
This 460-nucleotide ribosomal RNA is filed under the name uncultured bacterium. RNAcentral's name for it is "partial 16S ribosomal RNA". It matches the Rfam family "Bacterial small subunit ribosomal RNA", at positions 338 to 795 of the family's 1533-position model. The record is from RNAcentral.